GACGAACGCUGGCGGCGUGCUUAACACAUGCAAGUCGAACGGAAAGGCCCUGCUUUUGGGGGGUGCUCGAGUGGCGAACGGGUGUGUAACACGUGAGUAACCUGCCCUUGACUUUGGGAUAACUUCAGGAAACUGGGGCUAAUACCGGAUAGGAGCCCCCGCUGCAUGGUGGGGGGUGGAAAGUGUCGGCGGGUGGGGAGGGACUCGCGGCUUAGCAGGUUGUUGGUGGGGUAGUGGUUUACCAAGGUUUUGACGAGUAGCCGGUCUGAGAGGGUGACCGGCAACGUGGGGGCUAGGAUGCGGAGAAGACUCCUGCGGGAGGCAGCAGUGGAGAAUGUUGCACGGGGGGCGGAAGGCUGAAGCAGCAACGCGGCGUGGGGGAUGGCGGCCGUGGGGUUGUAAGCCGCCUUCGCCUGUGACGAAGUGUGAGUGACGGUAAGGGGUAAAGAAGCACCGGCUAACUACG
RNAcentral lists this ribosomal RNA (466 nucleotides) under uncultured bacterium. RNAcentral's name for it is "partial 16S ribosomal RNA". It matches the Rfam family "Bacterial small subunit ribosomal RNA", at positions 28 to 505 of the family's 1533-position model. The record is from RNAcentral.